GGCGCAGUGGUGAAAUUGGUAUACACGCUACGUUCAGGACGUAGUGGGGGCAACCCCGUGAAGGUUCAAGUCCUUUCUGCGCCACCA
This 87-nucleotide transfer RNA is filed under the name Candidatus Saccharibacteria bacterium RIFCSPHIGHO2_12_FULL_47_16b. RNAcentral's name for it is "tRNA-Leu". It matches the Rfam family "tRNA". Rfam says of the family: Transfer RNA (tRNA) molecules are approximately 80 nucleotides in length. Their secondary structure includes four short double-helical elements and three loops (D, anti-codon, and T loops). The record is from RNAcentral. Lineage: Bacteria; Candidatus Saccharimonadota. RNAcentral also lists the same sequence under 2 other names.